CNACCUGCCGAUGACUCNGGGAUAGNCUUUCNAAAGAAAGAUUAAUACCCGAUGGCAUAGUUCUUCCUCAUGGUGGAACUAUUAAAGAAUUUCNGUCAUCNAUGGGGAUGCGUUCCAUUAGGUUGUUGGCGGGGUAACGGCCCNNCNAGCCUUCNAUGGAUAGGGGUUCUGAGAGGAAGGUCCCCCNNAUUGGAACUGAGACACGGUCCAAACUCCUACGGGAGGCANCANUGAGGAAUAUUGGUCAAUGGACGAGAGUCUGAACCAGCCNAGUAGCGUGAAGGAUGACUGCCCUAUGGGUUGUAAACUUCUUUUAUACGGGAAUAAAGUGAGGCACGUGUGCCUUUUUGUAUGUACCGUAUGAAUAAGGAUCGGCUAACUCCGUGCCAGCAGCCGCGGUAAUACNGAGGAUCCNAGCGUUAUCCGGAUUUAUUGGGUUUAAAGGGAGCGUAGGCGGACGCUUAAGUCNGUUGUGAAAGUUUGCGGCUCAACCGUAAAAUUGCAGUUGAUACUGGGUGUCUUGAGUACAGUAGAGGCAGGCGGAAUUCGUGGUGUAGCGGUGAAAUGCUUAGAUAUCNCGAAGAACUCCGAUUG
This 594-nucleotide ribosomal RNA is filed under the name uncultured Bacteroidota bacterium. RNAcentral's name for it is "uncultured Bacteroidetes bacterium partial 16S ribosomal RNA". It matches the Rfam family "Bacterial small subunit ribosomal RNA", at positions 122 to 715 of the family's 1533-position model. Lineage: Bacteria; Pseudomonadati; Bacteroidota. The record is from RNAcentral.